Long non-coding RNA from Taeniopygia guttata (zebra finch), 2071 nucleotides. The record is from Ensembl. NCBI's taxonomy places the organism in Eukaryota, Metazoa, Chordata, Aves, Passeriformes, Estrildidae.
AAGUCUAGUAGUAUCUCAAUAAUUUUACUUAGAGUUUGCAAACAUUUCUUCAAAUCAAUAGAAGGAUGGUGUGAUUUAUCUUACUAUAAAAAAGAUUACUAUAUCAGAGAAAGUACAUCAUAACAUGGUCAUUUUUUUCUAUGGGUUUUUAAGAAGACCUCAUAUUGCCUGCUCAGAUGUAGAUUUCUAAAUUGUAGAUAUCUGGAACUAGCCAGUGAAGAUAGAUCACAUAUCAAGGCUCUGUCUUUUAAUGCCAUUACUAUUUGACUCAAGUAAUUAGACAGUUGACAAAAAACAGUUGUGGAAAGAUAAAGGUCAAAAUCCCACCUAGCUGCUUGUUCACUCACUCUCUUUAGUGGGGCAGGAGGAGAGAAUAGGAUGAGAAAGCUAAUGGAUUGAGAUAAAGCUUGACAGACUCAGUUUAAUUUAUUGCCAGGUAAUACAGGUUUGAAUAGUGUGAAAGAAAGACAAACAUCAAACCCCCAUCUUUCUUCCCCCCUCUCCCAGACACUUCACUCUGGUACUGCCAAAUCCUCUCCCCACCUCAAGCAGCACAGGAAUGAACAGGGAGCAGUAUGAUAGAAACACAAGUCUCACUCUUCUGCUAUUCUGCUCUGGUGCAAGCUCUUCCCAUUGGGUGAUCUUCUUCAGGAGAAAAAUCUGCAACCAUGUCAGGUCUCCAUAGGUAAUCUGUUUUGGGAGAUAUCUAACUGCUCCUGCGUGCUGUUGUUUUGUGCAAUUACUCCACAGGCUGCAGUGAUUAUCUCCUCCAUGUGCCCUUCCAAGGAAAUAUCAGCUCUAACUGUCUCCUUUACAGGGUAAAUUGGAUGUCCCCUCCCUCAGAGAUUUCACCAAAGACUGCAGCUCCCACUCUUUAUUUUCUGAGAUUGGUGUUCACAGAACAGUUUCUUGCUUUUGUGUUCCCUCCCCUUCUGUCUGUGUGGAAUUUUCUGAUCCUUUUUGAAAGUGCUUUCCCUGAGAUGCCACGGUCUUGGUUGAAAGGCUCAGCUGUGCCCUGCGGUGGCUCAGCUGGGGUCAGCUGGAACUGGCUCUCUCUGUCACAGACCAGAGACCAUCCUCCUACCUCUGACAGCCUCGACACACAUGCAAACCCAGCACAGUAGUGUUUCUAAUUCAGCUCAUAAUAACCUUCACAUCAAAUGAACAUGGAACAAUAGUUCUGGUAUCUUAUGGAAUGCCAAAUUUGUAGGUCACAUAGCAAUAUUUGAGUAAUACUAAACUUAUAUCAAAGUGUGUCCCAAAUUUUACAAAAGGCAAUAAAAAUCUGGGACUGUACAGUGUUAACUAUCUACUUUUGUUUCUCAAUAAAGGCUCACCUCUUAAGUUUUGUGGCUGUUUUGUAAAACACAUACACUUCCAGAAAAGUAGAUCUGCUUAAAGAGGCUUAUAGAAAGUUAAUUAUAUCAGCAGUCUAGGACUUCACAUUCAGAGAAGCAAUCAGGCAUCAAAUUGUUGAAUGGUUUUCAAAUAAAUGACAAGUAAAAAUGACAUUGGUAUGAUGGAAAGUCUUAAGGAAAUUUCAUUAGCUACCUCCGGUGAUGGUCCAAGGUGAGAUGAGAUGCACAGAGCAGUGGGGCUGAAGAUAAAGCAGGACACCCUAUAGUGAAUUAAUAUUAAAAUCUCAGAGUAUGGCACACUGCCAGUUUCUCUGAGAGAUUUAGUUAAUCUAAUUAGAAGACAGAAGAGGACAAAUUCUGUGUCUGACUGUCAACACUGAAAUAAGAAGGAAUACUGAGUAGUGAAGUGGCUGUAAACAGAUACACUCAACACAAAAAUGCUAACCAAAUAGCACAUACUAUUUACUACUCUACCAGUACUAAAACUGGCUUUAUUUUUUUUAUAGUAAUUCACCAUAACUCAGUCAAUCCUCUUAAAGUUUUUGCAAUGGACAUAAUGAAAAUAUAUUUUGCAUAAAAUAUACAAAGCAAAAAUGAGACAAAACAGGCAGAUGAGACAAAGAAAAGCUGAUCAUAAAUGCUUCUAAAAAAACUCAGUGAUGUUUUUUAAUACAUUUGUUUCAAAUGUUUGGGAUUUUAGUUCUCUGAUAUGA